AGUGAACGCCGGCGGUAGGCCUAACACAUGCAAGUCGAACGGCAGCACAGGAGAGCUUGCUCCCUGGGUGGCGAGUGGCGGAUGGGUGAGGAAUACAUCGGAAUCUACUUUUUCGUGGGGGAUAACGUAGGGAAACUUACGCUAAUACCGCAUACGACCUACGGGUGAAAGCAGGGGACCUUCGGGCCUUGCGCGAUUGAAUGAGCCGAUGUCGGAUUAGCUAGUUGGCGGGGUAAAGGCCCACCAAGGCGACGAUCCGUAGCUGGUCUGAGAGGAUGAUCAGCCACACUGGAACUGAGACACGGUCCAGACUCCUACGGGAGGCAGCAGUGGGGAAUAUUGGACAAUGGGCGCAAGCCUGAUCCAGCCAUACCGCGUGGGUGAAGAAGGCCUUCGGGUUGUAAAGCCCUUUUGUUGGGAAAGAAAUCCAGCUGGCUAAUACCCGGUUGGGAUGACGGUACCCAAAGAAUAAGCACCGGCUAACUUCGUGCCAGCCGCCGCCGUAA
RNAcentral lists this ribosomal RNA (506 nucleotides) under uncultured bacterium. Its description in RNAcentral is "partial 16S ribosomal RNA". It matches the Rfam family "Bacterial small subunit ribosomal RNA", at positions 29 to 523 of the family's 1533-position model. The record is from RNAcentral.